Molecule: non-coding RNA, 91 nt
Organism: Mycena amicta
Lineage: Eukaryota; Fungi; Basidiomycota; Agaricomycetes; Agaricales; Mycenaceae
Source: the annotation of a GenBank genome assembly
GCUUUGCUGGGGUAAAGGUAACCUGGGUCGGCCCCGUUGGAAGAUGAAGAAGGUUUUCGACCCGCCGGGGGUUCGAUUCCCUCACAAAGCU